AGUGAACGCUGGCGGCAGGCCUAACACAUGCAAGUCGAACGGCAGCACAGCAGUAGCAAUACUGUGGGUGGCGAGUGGCGGACGGGUGAGGAAUACAUCGGAAUCUGCCUAGUCGUGGGGGAUAACGUAGGGAAACUUACGCUAAUACCGCAUACGACCUACGGGUGAAAGCGGGGGAUCGCAAGACCUCGCGCGAUUAGAUGAGCCGAUGUCCGAUUAGCUAGUUGGCGGGUAAUGGCCCACCAAGGCGACGAUCGGUAGCUGGUCUGAGAGGAUGAUCAGCCACACUGGAACUGAGACACGGUCCAGACUCCUACGGGAGGCAGCAGUGGGGAAUAUUGGUACAAUGGGCGCGAAGCCUGAUCCAGCCAUG
This 373-nucleotide ribosomal RNA is filed under the name uncultured bacterium. Its description in RNAcentral is "bacterial SSU rRNA". It matches the Rfam family "Bacterial small subunit ribosomal RNA", at positions 29 to 396 of the family's 1533-position model. The record is from RNAcentral.